GGAUUGGAAUGGGCGCAGCCUGAUCCAGCCAUGCCGCGUGGAUGAUGAAGGCCCUAGGGUUGUAAAGUCCUUUCGGCGGGGAAGAUAAUGACGGUACCCGCAGAAGAAGCCCCGGCUAACUUCGUGCCAGCAGCCGCGGUAAUACGAAGGGGGCUAGCGUUGCUCGGAAUCACUGGGCGUAAAGCGCACGUAGGCGGCUUUUUAAGUCAGGGGUGAAAUCCUGGAGCUCAACUCCAGAACUGCCUUUGAUACUGAGAAGCUUGAGUCCGGGAGAGGUGAGUGGAACUGCGAGUGUAGAGGUGAAAUUCGUAGAUAUUCGCAAGAACACCAGUGGCGAAGGCGGCUCACUGGCCCGGUACUGACGCUGAGGUGCGAAAGCGUGGGGAGCAAACAGGAUUAGAUACCCUGGUAGUCCACGCCGUAAACGAUGGAUGCUAGCCGUUGUCGGGUUUACCCGUCAGUGGCGCAGCUAACGCAUUAAGCAUCCCGCCUGGGGAGUACGGUCGCAAGAUUAAAACUCAAAAGAAUUGACGGA
This 535-nucleotide ribosomal RNA is filed under the name uncultured bacterium. RNAcentral describes it as "bacterial SSU rRNA". It matches the Rfam family "Bacterial small subunit ribosomal RNA", at positions 359 to 917 of the family's 1533-position model. The record is from RNAcentral.